This 1211-nucleotide ribosomal RNA is filed under the name metagenome. RNAcentral's name for it is "bacterial SSU rRNA". It matches the Rfam family "Bacterial small subunit ribosomal RNA", at positions 276 to 1498 of the family's 1533-position model. The record is from RNAcentral.
UCGAUGUCUAGGGGCUCUGAGAGGAUUGUCCCCCACACUGGUACUGAGACACGGACCAGACUCCUACGGGAGGCAGCAGUAAGGAAUAUUGGUCAAUGGACGAAAGUCUGAACCAGCCAUGCCGCGUGCAGGAUGACGGCCCUAUGGGUUGUGAACUGCUUUUAUACGGGAAGAAUCCCCUGUACGUGUACAGGGUUGACGGUACCGUACGAAUAAGGAUCGGCUAACUCCGUGCCAGCAGCCGCGGUAAUACGGAGGAUCCAAGCGUUAUCCGGAUUUAUUGGGUUUAAAGGGUGCGUAGGCGGAAUGAUAAGUUAGUGGUGAAAUCCCUCGGCUCAACCGGGGCACUGCCAUUAAAACUGUCAUUCUUGAGUAUAGUUGAAGUGGGCGGAAUGUAUCAUGUAGCGGUGAAAUGCUUAGAUAUGAUACAGAACACCGAUAGCGUAGGCAGCUUGCUAAACUAUAACUGACGCUCAGGCACGAAAGCGUGGGGAGCAAACAGGAUUAGAUACCCUGGUAGUCCACGCCGUAAACGAUGAUCACUCGCUGUUGGCGAUACACAGUCAGCGGCUUAGGGAAACCAUUAAGUGAUCCACCUGGGGAGUACGGUCGCAAGAUUGAAACUCAAAGGAAUUGACGGGGGCCCGCACAAGCGGAGGAGCAUGUGGUUUAAUUCGAUGAUACGCGAGGAACCUUACCUGGGCUUAAAUGUAAGACGACAGUCCCCGAAAGGGGACUUUCCUUCGGGACGUCCUACAAAGUGCUGCAUGGUUGUCGUCAGCUCGUGCCGUGAGGUGUCGGGUUAAGUCCCAUAACGAGCCAACCCCUAUCCUUAGUUGCCAUCAGAUAAUGCUGGGGACUCUAAGGAAACUGCCUACGCAAGUAGUGAGGAAGGUGGGGAUGACGUCAAAUCAGCACGGCCCUUAUGUCCAGGGCUACACACGUGCUACAAUGGCCGGUACAGAGGGCAGCUACCUGGUGACAGGAUGCUAAUCUCGAAAACCGGUCUCAGUUCGGAUCGAAGUCUGCAACUCGACUUCGUGAAGUCGGAUUCGCUAGUAAUCGCACAUCAGCCAUGGCGCGGUGAAUACGUUCCCGGGCCUUGUACACACCGCCCGUCAAGCCAUGGAAGCUGGGGGUACCUAAAGUCCGUAACCGCAAGGAGCGGCCUAGGGUAAAACUAGUAACUGGGGCUAAGUCGGAACAAGGUA